Vicia faba (fava bean) is the source of this 186-nucleotide non-coding RNA. The record is from the annotation of a GenBank genome assembly. NCBI's taxonomy places the organism in Eukaryota, Viridiplantae, Streptophyta, Magnoliopsida, Fabales, Fabaceae.
AUGCGUUUGCGUUUGGAAAUGCAGUUGGAGAAUUGGUUUGGUUUGAUUUAUAUGGCAAUGGCAAUAAAGAAGAAAAAAACAAAGAAUCGCGGUGAGUCGUUGUUACUAGUAAUUAACUCGAACGAGUCAAAACCGAGUCACCGACGAUUCUCUCACGAGCGGUCCGCAUCAACAGUUGGAACCUGA